UUAACAUUAUCGUGCAUAAAGACUGAGAUUCACAAGUUCGGCUCAGGUUCCAAUAGAGUGUGUGGAUUCCCCCCUCUUAACCGACAAUUGUCAAUGGACACAAAAAAAGAGCUCAAUUAACCUGUAACCUGCGAAUUAACGGUUAACUAGCAAAGUUAAUUCGAGCUUGGUCACUUAAACGGAAUCAACGUAGAAAAUCCAGAUGAUAGGUAUUUGUUAAAUCCAUAGAGUUUAACUUGGCCAAGGAUAGAAAACUAUUUGAAACCCACCCCGCUCACAGAUUUUGGGCUCUCGAGAUUUUAUCUCUCUCUGGUUUAUUUUGCUCUCUCUCACUCCUCCCCUAUAAUCCCUCACACAGAGCUCUAUUCAAUAGCCAUUGAAGCUUUAUCAUUGAAGCUUCAAGGUGCUGAGCUUAACCCCACUCUCAUUCUGAUUCACCCCUCACAUAAAGAGACAUCGACGGAGUACUAAUCACCAGGAGUAAAAUAAGAAGAUUGAGGAAGAAGAGUAACAAGAAGCAAAGGAAGGAAGCAUAAAAUGAAGAGAACGUCACUUAAUCCGAUUCUUUCGACGCCUUCGUCUCCGAUCCGCUCCGGUAGGUGCUUUCCGCUUCCAUCUUUUUCCUUUUGAUACCAGUUUGUUGUUUGAGUAUGGAGGAUUGUUAACCCGUUAAUUUCAGAUCGAGGUGAGGUUUGAACACGUUUUAAUUUGAGAGAUUAGAUUUAGGGUUCGUAGUUAUCUCUCAUCGAUUUGAGAAAUCAAGGAAGAAUCUGAGAGACCUGUUCACGGAUUCAAACUCAGUGUGUCGAAUCGGGUCGAACAAGGUUUGUAGCUGUAUUUUUGGAAUAACUCCGGC
Molecule: long non-coding RNA, 856 nt
Filed under: Lathyrus oleraceus (garden pea)
Lineage: Eukaryota; Viridiplantae; Streptophyta; Magnoliopsida; Fabales; Fabaceae
Description: Pisum sativum (pea) long non-coding RNA (PSAT_LNC015210)
Source: RNAcentral